Molecule: ribosomal RNA, 465 nt
Filed under: Vreelandella stevensii
Lineage: Bacteria; Pseudomonadati; Pseudomonadota; Gammaproteobacteria; Oceanospirillales; Halomonadaceae
Description: partial 16S ribosomal RNA
Rfam family: Bacterial small subunit ribosomal RNA
Source: RNAcentral
CCUACGGGGGGCUGCAGUGGGGAAUAUUGGACAAUGGGGGGAACCCUGAUCCAGCCAUGCCGCGUGUGUGAAGAAGGCCCUCGGGUUGUAAAGCACUUUCAGUGAGGAAGAACGCCUGGUGGUUAAUACCCAUCAGGAAAGACAUCACUCACAGAAGAAGCACCGGCUAACUCCGUGCCAGCAGCCGCGGUAAUACGGAGGGUGCGAGCGUUAAUCGGAAUUACUGGGCGUAAAGCGCGCGUAGGUGGCUUGAUAAGCCGGUUGUGAAAGCCCCGGGCUCAACCUGGGAACGGCAUCCGGAACUGUCAAGCUAGAGUGCAGGAGAGGAAGGUAGAAUUCCCGGUGUAGCGGUGAAAUGCGUAGAGAUCGGGAGGAAUACCAGUGGCGAAGGCGGCCUUCUGGGCUGACACUUACACUGAGGUGCGAAAGCGUGGGUAGCAAACAGGAUUAGAUACCCUUGUAGUC